AGUGAACGCUGGCGGUAGGCCUAACACAUGCAAGUCGAACGGCAGCACAGUAAGAGCUUGCUCUUACGGGUGGCGAGUGGCGGACGGGUGAGGAAUACAUCGGAAUCUACUUUUUCGUGGGGGAUAACGUAGGGAAACUUACGCUAAUACCGCAUACGACCUACGGGUGAAAGCAGGGGAUCUUCGGACCUUGCGCGAUUGAAUGAGCCGAUGUCGGAUUAGUUAGUUGGCGGGGUAAAGGCCCCCCAAGGCGACGAUCCGUAGCUGGUCUGAGAGGAUGAUCAGCCACACUGGAACUGCGACACGGUCCAGACUCCUACGGGAGGCAGCAGUGGGGAAUAUUGGACAAUGGGCGCAAGCCUGAUCCAGCCAUACCGCGUGGGUGAAGAAGGCCUUCGGGUUGUAAAGCCCUUUUGUUGGGAAAGAAAAGCAGCAGGUUAAUACCCCGCUGUUCUGACGGUACCCAAAGAAUAAGCACCGGCUAACUUCGUG
Molecule: ribosomal RNA, 492 nt
Filed under: uncultured bacterium
Lineage: Bacteria
Description: partial 16S ribosomal RNA
Rfam family: Bacterial small subunit ribosomal RNA
Source: RNAcentral